UACGGAGGGGGCCAGCGUUGUUCGGAAUCAUUGGGCGUAAAGGGCGCGUAGGCGGCUUUGUAAGUCCGUUGUGAAAUCCCUCGGCUCAACCGAGGAACUGCGACGGAUACUGCUUGGCUUGAGUCCCGGAGAGGGUAGCGGAAUUCCCAGUGUAGCGGUGAAAUGCGUAGAUAUCCGGAGGAACACCGAUGGCGAAGGCAACCGCCUGGGCCUGUACUGACGCUGAGACACGAAAGCGUGGGGAGCAAACAGG
RNAcentral lists this ribosomal RNA (253 nucleotides) under uncultured bacterium. RNAcentral's name for it is "partial 16S ribosomal RNA". It matches the Rfam family "Bacterial small subunit ribosomal RNA", at positions 524 to 776 of the family's 1533-position model. The record is from RNAcentral.